CUCCUUUUCCUCUCUUCAGGUUGUUAUUAUCUGCUACUAUUCCUUAAUCAUUUUUAAUGUCAUUUUGUGAAUGCUGAUACAAGAAGACUCUCAAUGGAUCGAGUUGUUCAUAAAUUGUAAAUCUUUGAGUUGUCAUUGCACCAGCUCAAGUCCAGUGGUCAUUGGCAGUUUCUAAUUGUAGGUAUUAUCGUAUACUUGUUGUUACUGAUGUUGAGCACACCAUUCUAUAUAUAGGACUGAUCUCACACAUGGGGGGAAAUACAGUCUGGAAGAACCUCAAUAGGUUGUUAUUAUCUGCUACUAUUCCUGAAUCAUUAAUUCAUUAUUAAGGUCAUUUUGUGAAUCCCGGUACAAGAAGACUCUCAAUCGAGUUGUUUAUAAAUUGUAAUUAAUCCUAACAGACUAAUACAUGUAACUAUCUUUUGGACCACCUCAAGUUGGAAAUUGGCAAGUAUAGAUUAACCUCUUAAAGCUAGAGAGAGGGUAUAAUUAUGUUAAUUACAUUUUUGCUGGCUGCCGUUACAAGUAUAUAUAUAUAUAUACUCAGAGUUAUGUUGUUCUUGCUAAUAUUGAGCACUCAGGACUGAUCACACGUGGGAGAAAAUAGUCUUGAAGAAAGCCU
Molecule: long non-coding RNA, 622 nt
Organism: Amphimedon queenslandica
Lineage: Eukaryota; Metazoa; Porifera; Demospongiae; Haplosclerida; Niphatidae
Exons: 4
Source: RefSeq, a predicted model, not a curated record